RNAcentral lists this long non-coding RNA (979 nucleotides) under Coffea arabica (coffee). RNAcentral's name for it is "long non-coding RNA (CARA_LNC004173)". Lineage: Eukaryota; Viridiplantae; Streptophyta; Magnoliopsida; Gentianales; Rubiaceae. The record is from RNAcentral.
GGGGAACGAAUGAACGAAGGGCUCCACGUGAGCAUGUAUCCUUUUAAUGAAUGUGUUAUCAUUAUUUUUAUACUGUAAAUGUUUUUUGGAUUAUUUGCUAUUCAAUGCUUAAAUGUUUUGGAUUUAAUUAUUUGAUUAUAUGUUUGGAACCUCACUGGACUUUUAGCUCAUUCCGUUAGUUUUGUUUUCCUUAUAGGAGAGGCGAGCAAGGGUGAGAGACCUGUAUAGAAUAGCAUAGUCUAGCUCUUUUGAAAUUCUUGCAUUUGUACUCGCUCUAGUGCUCCGUUAGGGUUGAAUGUAUUGGGAACUUAAAGCUUUUGUUACAUUUGGGUCUGUAUUACUGGUUGAGAUAGAAAUGAAUGUAAGUAUACGUUUCGAGUUUGGGAAUUGUUAUUUCACUUCCUCGAAGUUAUAUCUUGUUUUGUUUGAGGACUAUAGUGAGUCCCGGCAAGAGUUGGGCUGGCGGUCGCCGAACCCUUUGGUUCGCUGUAGGGAAAGGUGGGGUUGUCACAUAAUCCCCUUUAGGACAAAAUUACCCUUCAUUAUUUUGACUUUUCAUUUAUCUUUUUUCCUUUCAUCUUUUUUUUUUCCUUCCUUUAUUCCUUUUUCUCUCUUCCAUCCUUCCUAUUAGACAACUUCAUUUCAACAUAAAAACUUUGUCUAAAGUUUGUACUUAGGUGUAUGGAUGAAACUUGGAAAGGCAUUAAAAGCUAAUUUCAAUCUUUUAUACGAUGAUAUGUGUUGCAAAAUUACAAUUAAUGAUCAUUAUUCAGGUCGCAAAUUCAUCUUGUGAUUCUUUUUGAAAAUAAAAUGAGAAAUUGGGAUAGGAAGAAGAAAAAGCAAAAGAAUUAAAAAGAAAAAAAAGGUAUUUUGGGAGAGAUUUGAAUAUUUUGUGAUCAUUUGAGGGAAACGUAGAUCUUUGCAAUUCCUCUUUAGCUUCAAUCACUAAGUUGAAGUUUCUUGUGUGAAAGAGGAAAGU